This 561-nucleotide unclassified non-coding RNA is filed under the name Hevea brasiliensis (rubber tree). The record is from RNAcentral. Lineage: Eukaryota; Viridiplantae; Streptophyta; Magnoliopsida; Malpighiales; Euphorbiaceae.
UCACUGUUGGAAGCACCAAUAUUUUGCAAUGCCAUCUUGUUGGUACUGAUGGAGAGACCAGUAUCACGUUAAUCAGAAGUGACAAAAAUCAGCAGCAGUAUGCUCUCUAAUAAUAGAAAAUUCUCCUUUAGCAGGCACGUUCCUAGCAGAAGGGAAAGGACGCAUAAACUGGCAACCUAUAUAGUCUGUGCAAUGGCCCUCAAAAAACCCAAGAUGCAUGCAGCCAACCUUAGUUGCAGAACUUCUGAUCUUUUUUCUAGACGUAGGACAGUACUCUCCAAGUAAUCCAAUUGAUGACAAAAAGAGAGAGGCCCGCUCAGACAUAAAAAAAGCUUCAAACUUGACGAACUCCACUUUUGAUGAACUGCAGAUGAAGCAGACAAAACUGCCAACUUCCUUAUAAUGAAGAAAAUAGAGGGGCUAGAGAUGGAUGGGUCUCUAUUGUAAACGUCCGCGUGAGAGAUUGUGGGAUGAAUUGGGGGAGAGCAAGGCUUUUAUAUACGCCAAGGAGGUAGAGAGAGAGAGUAGGUUUCUAGGGCAAACUCAGCCUCCUAAUUUUAA